RNAcentral lists this long non-coding RNA (1491 nucleotides) under Homo sapiens (human). Its description in RNAcentral is "PREDICTED lncRNA (TCONS_00107095)". Lineage: Eukaryota; Metazoa; Chordata; Mammalia; Primates; Hominidae. The record is from RNAcentral.
CUUUAACCUGGAAGGUGGAGGUUGCAGUGAGCCAAGAUUGUGGCCACUGCACUCCAGCCCGGGCGACAGUGCGAGACUCCAUCUCAAAAAAAAAAUAAUAAAAUAAAAAUAAAAGACUGCAGGCCCUUUCUCCUUCCCCGUGCCCAUUUCUGUAGAAUCAUUUAUUCAUUAAAUUCACUGAACACUUUCCAUGGGCUGGGCACUCUUAGGCAUUGGGAACAUAGGAGUACACAGGUCCUGGGCACUGUCCUCCCCUGUGGCUGGGUCAGUCAUCCUUACUCUGAAUCAUGGCCCAGACUGGCCUUGCCCUACUCCUCUCUAGGUAGAGCAGUGAUCUCAGGCCAACUCUUGCAUUUUGUUCCAGAAACCUUGAUUAUUUCCCUGACUAUUGGUCACUUCCCGAAAUGCACUGAACUGUGCCAGGAAUAGGAUAUGUUUUUAAGUGCUUGAGACACAGACAAGUGGCAGACGCAUACCCAAAUUCCAACCAUACUUUACUUCUGACCUAAUUUUAAUAUAUGUUUCAUGCAGUUACACAAUUAUCUGUGCAUAAUGCUCUGAGAAAAGGGAUGGCACAUACAGUUUCUCCUGAAGCGGGAAACAGAGCCCAGUUGGUAAGGUGGCCAGUCUCUAGGGCAUCUUAGAUGAACCUUGUUUCUUCCUAUUACUUUUCCUUCAUCUACUUUUUUUUUUUCUGAGAUAGAGCCUUGCUCUGUCGCCCAGGCUGGAGUGCAGUGGCAUGAUCUCGGCUCACUGCAACCUCUGCCUCCUAGGUUCAAGGGAUCUUCCUACCUCAGGCUCCUGAGUAGCCAGGAUUACAGGUGCAUGCCACCGUGCCCGGCUAAUACUUUGCAUUUUUGUAAAGACGGGGUUUCACCAUGUUGGCCAGGCGGGUCUCGAACCCCUGACCUCAAGUGAUCGGCCGCCUAAGCCUCCAAAGUGCUGGGAUUACAGGCAUGAGCCACCGUGCCCAGCCUUCCUUCAUCUACUUAUUUUCCUGUGAUGCCUCCAUGUUUUAGAGUAUGUGUCUGAGGGGCAGGAAUAUGUAUUAGAUAUAUCUAGGGCAGUCCCACCAGCUUUACAUUCUUGAGACCUCAUCCAUCAGUUCUUGUUUUGCAGACAUAUACUUCUAUUGACUACAAUGAGAAGUGUGUCUCUUAAAAAGGCUGGAGUGCAGUGGCGUGAUCUCGGCUCCCUACAACCUCCACCUCCCAGCUGCCUGCCUUGGCCUCCCAAAGUGCCGAGAUUGUAGCCUCUGCCCGGCUGCCACCCCGUCUGGGAAGUGAGGAGCGUCUCUGCCUGGCCGCCCAUCGUCUGGGAUGUGAGGAGCCCCUGUGCCCGGCCGCCCAGUCUGGGAAGUGAGGAGCCUCUUCCCGGCCGCCAUCCCGUCUGGGAAGUGAGGAGGGUCUCUGCCCAGCCGCCCAUCGUCUGAGAUGUGGGGAGCGCCUCUGCCCCGCCGCCCCGUCUGGGAUGUGAGGAUCGCCUCUGCCC